Molecule: ribosomal RNA, 442 nt
Filed under: uncultured bacterium
Lineage: Bacteria
Description: bacterial SSU rRNA
Rfam family: Bacterial small subunit ribosomal RNA
Source: RNAcentral
AACGCGAAGAACCUUACCUACUCUUGACAUCCAUAGAAUCCUGCAGAGAUGUGGGAGUGCCGAAAGGAAUUAUGAGACAGGUGCUGCAUGGCUGUCGUCAGCUCGUGUUGUGAGAUGUUGGGUUAAGUCCCGUAACGAGCGCAACCCUUAUCCUUAGUUGCCAACAUGUAAUGGUGGGGACUCUAAGGAGACUGCUGGUGAUGAACCGGAGGAAGGCGGGGACGACGUCAAGUCAUCAUGGCCUUUAUGAGUAGGGCUACACACGUGCUACAAUGGGCAGUACAGAGGGCAGCCAACCCGCGAGGGGGAGCCAAUCCCGAAAAGCUGUUCGUAGUCCGGAUCGGAGUCUGCAACUCGACUCCGUGAAGUCGGAAUCGCUAGUAAUCGCGAAUCAGAAUGUCGCGGUGAAUACGUUCCCGGGCCUUGUACACACCGACGCGUA